Molecule: long non-coding RNA, 847 nt
Organism: Saccostrea cuccullata (small rock oyster)
Lineage: Eukaryota; Metazoa; Mollusca; Bivalvia; Ostreida; Ostreidae
Exons: 4
Source: RefSeq, a predicted model, not a curated record
GUUUCUGAUACUACAAUACUUAGGCCAUCAUUUACACUCUUAAUUGACGACGAAUUUUUCUGUUAUUUCCGGAUCAUGACAAGAAGCACCCGGCAUGUGUGAUAGGUCUGCAGGGGAUGCUCAUCCCAACAUGGUACCUGAUCCCACCUCUGAUGCUUUGAAAGCCCCGGUAGGCUCUGCUUCUACGGUAGUAAACACCUCUGCUAAAAUAUGCGGCAAUAUAACUUAUAAUAUGGAACGUUGCUAUGGUAAUCAAGUCUGCUGUUACAAAGGAAGCUACGCAUACUGUUGCAAAGGGAUAACAUACGGUGAAAUGAUUGGAAUUGGAAUAGGAAGUUUGGCAGGACUCGUUUUAGUAAUUGGCCUCAUUAUCCUUUGUUGUAAGGUCAAAAACAAAAACAAAAUUUCGACAGAUGGCGUAGGAAUUGCCGACUCACACCACUAAGGCUCCACUGGAUCGUAUGGUGCUCACCCUGUCUAUGGUAAUGAAGGACAGUCGCUAGGUCCGGCUCGUCCAUUCACAGAACCCAACCAUCCUCCUAUAAUAUAUCCACCCACUCAGAGCACGGAAAAGGAUCCCAGGGAAGCGCCUCAGUCAAACCCUCACAGAAACUCACACAACUGACAAACUAACUAAUAAGAAAUGACUGAUCAAAGACAUAAACCUUUUUAACGGACACGGACCAACUGUUUCGACUAUUAAAAAACUUUAGACCUAAUCAAUAAACGUAACACAUUCAGGAGAAAUGUCCCAAAUGAAUCUCUGUUCCUCUUCUGUAAAACAAUCUAAUAUUAAAAGUUGAAUGAGUUUUAAAUAUGUAAGUGGAAAGUUGAAAUGGAUUUAAAA